This 831-nucleotide ribosomal RNA is filed under the name uncultured Bacillus sp. RNAcentral's name for it is "bacterial SSU rRNA". It matches the Rfam family "Bacterial small subunit ribosomal RNA", at positions 698 to 1507 of the family's 1533-position model. Lineage: Bacteria; Bacillati; Bacillota; Bacilli; Caryophanales; Bacillaceae. The record is from RNAcentral.
GGGGUAGACCCCAAUUGGCCGAAGGCGAUCUCUGGUCUGUACUGACGCUGAGGAGCGAAAGCGUGGGGAGCGAACAGGAUUAGAUACCCUGGUAGUCCACGCCGUAAACGAUGAGUGCUAAGUGUUAGGGGGUUUCCGCCCCUUAGUGCUGCAGCUAACGCAUUAAGCACUCCGCCUGGGGAGUACGGUCGCAAGACUGAAACUCAAAGGAAUUGACGGGGGCCCGCACAAGCGGUGGAGCAUGUGGUUUAAUUCAAAGCAACGCGAAAAACCUUACCAGGUCUUGACAUCCUCUGACAAUCCUAAAGAUAGGACGUCCCCUUCGGGGGCAGAGUGACAGGUGGUGCAUGGUUGUCGUCAGCUCGUGUCGUGAGAUGUUGGGUUAAGUCCCGCAACGAGCGCAACCCUUGAUCUUAUUUGCCAGCAUUCAAUUGGGCACUCUAAGGUGACUGCCGGUGACAAACCGGAGGAAGGUGGGGAUGACGUCAAAUCAUCAUGCCCCUUAUGACCUGGGCUACACACGUGCUACAAUGGACAGAACAAAGGGCAUCGAACCCGCGAGGUUAAACCCAAUCCCACAAAAUCUGUUCUCAGUUUCGGAUCGCAGUCUGCAACUCGACUGCGUGAAACUUGGAAAUCGCUAGUAAUCGCCGGAUCAACAUGCCGCGGGUGAAAUACGUUCUCGGGUCUUGUAACACACCGCCCGUCACACCACGAAGAGUUUUGUAACACCCGAAAUCGGUGAAGGUAACCUUUUUAGGAGCCAAGCCGUCCGAAAGGUGGGGACAGAAUGAUUGGGGGUGGAAGUUCUUAAACAAGGUAACCCACAUA